RNAcentral lists this ribosomal RNA (464 nucleotides) under uncultured bacterium. RNAcentral's name for it is "partial 16S ribosomal RNA". It matches the Rfam family "Bacterial small subunit ribosomal RNA", at positions 339 to 795 of the family's 1533-position model. The record is from RNAcentral.
CUACGGGGUGCUGCAGUGGGGAAUAUUGCACAAUGAGCGAAAGCUUGAUGCAGCCAUACCGCGUGUGUGAAGAAGGCCCGAGGGUUGGAAAGCAGUUUCAAUUGGGAGGAAGGUUGAGUAGUUAAUACCUGCUUAAUUUGACGUUACCUUUAGAAGAAGCACCGGCUAACUCUGUGCCAGCAGCCGCGGUAAUACAGAGGGUGCAAGCGUUGUUCGGAAUUACUGGGCGUAAAGCGCGCGUAGGCGGAUUAUUAAGUCAGUUGUGAAAGCCCUGGGCUCAACCUGGGAACUGCAUCUGAUACUGGUAGUCUAGAGGUUAAGAGAGGGAAGUGGAAUUCCAGGUGUAGCAGUGAAAUGCGUAGAUAUCUGGAGGAACAUCAGUGGCGAAGGCGACUUCCUGGCUUAAAACUGACGCUGAGGUGCGAAAGCGUGGGUAGCGAACGGGAUUAGAUACCCUCGUAGUC